This 421-nucleotide ribosomal RNA is filed under the name uncultured bacterium. RNAcentral's name for it is "bacterial SSU rRNA". It matches the Rfam family "Bacterial small subunit ribosomal RNA", at positions 917 to 1333 of the family's 1533-position model. The record is from RNAcentral.
GGGCCCGCACAAGCGGUGGAGCAUGUGGUUUAAUUCGACGAUACGCGAAAAACCUUACCAGCUCUUGACAUGGGGAUUUUGGACCUUGGAGACAAGGUUCUUCGGUUCGGCCGGGUCCCACACAGGUGCUGCAUGGCUGUCGUCAGCUCGUGUCGUGAGAUGUUGGGUUAAGUCCCGCAACGAGCGCAACCCUUGUCCCUAGUUGCUAACAGGUUAUGCUGAGAACUUUAGGGAGACUGCCGGUGACAAACUGGAGGAAGGAAAGGAUGAUGUCAAGUCAUCAUGGCCCUUAUGGGCUGGGCUACACACGUGCUACAAUGGUGGUUACAAACGGUUGCGAACCCGCGAGGGGAAGCUAAUCCGAGAAAGCCGGUCGUAGUCCGGAUUGGGGUCUGCAACUCGACCCCAUGAAGUCGGAAUC